RNAcentral lists this ribosomal RNA (460 nucleotides) under uncultured bacterium. Its description in RNAcentral is "bacterial SSU rRNA". It matches the Rfam family "Bacterial small subunit ribosomal RNA", at positions 21 to 473 of the family's 1533-position model. The record is from RNAcentral.
GGCUCAGAUUGAACGCUGGCGGCAUGCUUUACACAUGCAAGUCGAACGGCAGCGGGGGCUUCGGCCUGCCGGCGAGUGGCGAACGGGUGAGUAAUGCAUCGGAACGUGCCCAUGUCGUGGGGGAUAACGUAUCGAAAGGUACGCUAAUACCGCAUACGUCCUGAGGGAGAAAGCGGGGGAUUCUUCGGAACCUCGCGCGAUUGGAGCGGCCGAUGUCGGAUUAGCUAGUAGGUGAGGUAAAGGCUCACCUAGGCGACGAUCCGUAGCGGGUCUGAGAGGAUGAUCCGCCACACUGGGACUGAGACACGGCCCAGACUCCUACGGGAGGCAGCAGUGGGGAAUUUUGGACAAUGGGGGCAACCCUGAUCCAGCCAUGCCGCGUGAGUGAAGAAGGCCUUCGGGUUGUAAAGCUCUUUCGGCCGGGAAGAAAUCGUGGUCUCUAACAUAGGCCAUGGAUGAC